Molecule: long non-coding RNA, 797 nt
Organism: Pogoniulus pusillus (Red-fronted tinkerbird)
Lineage: Eukaryota; Metazoa; Chordata; Aves; Piciformes; Lybiidae
Exons: 3
Source: RefSeq, a predicted model, not a curated record
CGCAGCUGCCGAGCAACGGGUGCGGGGCCGCCGGUGGCAGCGGGGUUGGGGGUCGAGUGAAGGGAGAGGUAGCGGGCGACAGCCGAGGAUCAAGUCCCGAAAUGGUGAAAACGUCUGCAGCGCCCAAGCGCUUCUCCCAACUUAGCCAAACCCAUGAGCUCGGCUCGCAGGCAGCGCCGCUGGUGCCCGGCGAGGCCUGCGCCGUGCAGCUGUGCUCGCACCCACCGCCAGCACAGACCACGGCGGAGGCCGCUGGCGGCUGCCGGAGGCACCGUGGCGGAAUGCAGCUCCACGGUUGAUGGAUGCUCGAAUUCCAGGUCCCCUCCAACCUGAACCAUUCUGAAUCUAUGAAUCUGAAUGAGCUACUCAUUUACAAGAAGAGUCUGCCAAAAAGAAGUCACUUUUAUCCCAGCAAAGAGAGAAGAAAGCCCUCCAGAGUCUCCAGGCAGUGGUCUGACAGUGACUCAGUACUCCACAUCUCAUCAGUGCAUUACCCAAAGCUGUCCUUUGCUUGUCACAGCCCAAAAAAGCCUUUGUCUUGUGCAAAGAAAAAGACAUUUGAGCAUUUCUAAGUGCAGCUUUGAGACCAACACUCACACCCCCCAAAAAAAAUAUUUGCUUGAGAUAAGUGUUUUGUGCCAGAACUAUCUGAGGUGGAAAGAGCACAAGAAGCCAAGCAGUGUGUCUCUGGUGGAGAAAGAAAUGCCCUGCAACUGCCUUGGCUGCCAGUGGAGGUUGUGGUGUUGGAACAAAAGACUGCAUUGAGACAAAUGCAGUCCUGGAAAGUGAUAAAUGUC